This 1134-nucleotide long non-coding RNA is filed under the name Phasianus colchicus (ring-necked pheasant). RNAcentral describes it as "lncRNA (ENSPCLG00000004471.1)". Lineage: Eukaryota; Metazoa; Chordata; Aves; Galliformes; Phasianidae. The record is from RNAcentral.
GUUUGCUCAGCGCAGAGCAGAGCAGCUGAGGGGAGGCCUGAUGGCGGCUGCAGCUCCUCACAGGGAGCGGAGGGGCCUGAGGGAGCAGCGUGGAGCUGCAUCAGGGGAGGGCCUGGUUUGGGAUUAGGGAAAAGCUCUUAGCCAAAGGGCGGUGGGCAUGGCCCAAAACUGCCAGGGUUCAAGGGGCAUUUGAACAAUGCUGUCAGACAUAGGUGGUCCUGUGUGGAGCCGGGAGCUGGACUGGAUGAUCCUUGUGUGACCGUUCUGAAUCAGGACACUCCAUGAUUCUGUGAUUCAAUGAGAACAGUCAUUCAUUAGAGCUGUCCGGUGUCAUAAGCUGUCAUAAGCUAUCAUAAGCUGGUCCUAACCGUAAAUGUUUAAGUCAGAUCAGGCAUUUUGCUGUGUCUUUGGGCUAAGCUAAAGCACUUCUACAACUUUAAACAGGAAUUCAAUUGAGUGAUGAUGGAAGAACUGCAGCAGCAGUACUCUAUAACUUUGUCAUUUAUUUAUCCCUUGUAGUGACUCUGAUCCUGAUAAUUCUACACAAGAAACCAGCACAGGCCCCUCUUUGUAGGAAAAGUGCUGGAUCAUCUUCAGCUAACACUGGUUAUCACAUCACUGGACAGUGCAUAAACCAUAGAAAAAUGUGAAAAGGCACAAAACUGAGGGGCUGUUCACUCCUUCAACAUGCUGCAAACCUUUAAUGUUCACCAGAUUUUAGUCAGCUUGUGCUCUACAUGGAUUAAUAUUUGAUAAAAGCAGCCUAUUUUAAUCAAUUGAGCAGCUGUGUUGUAUGUGCAGUUGAAGUCUGAGGGAUGCUAGCCACAUCACGUUUCACUACAGAUCUUUAAUAUCAAAAAACAUUUCCAUCUUCCUGAGUAACAGCAGUGUCAUUUAUAUUGCAAAAAGCUAUGGACCGCCAUGCAAACUGCCAGUAAAUGUCUUCCUAUCUCUUGAACAUGGGCUUUAACACACAGGGAAAACAGGCAACAGAAAACAGAGUGUAACAGAAAUAACACAACGUCCUCUUCAGCAAAGCACAGCGUGGUUUGCUGCUAUUCAAGGCCAAAUCUUCCUGUCCCAAACUGAAGUGCAAAGAAUACUGCUGCACAAAUAAACCCUCACAAGGACUCA